Molecule: ribosomal RNA, 484 nt
Filed under: uncultured bacterium
Lineage: Bacteria
Description: partial 16S ribosomal RNA
Rfam family: Bacterial small subunit ribosomal RNA
Source: RNAcentral
AUUGAACGCUGGCGGCAGGCCUAACACAUGCAAGUCGAGCGGAUGAAGGGAGCUUGCUCCUGGAUUCAGCGGCGGACGGGUGAGUAAUGCCUAGGAAUCUGCCUGGUAGUGGGGGAUAACGUCCGGAAACGGGCGCUAAUACCGCAUACGUCCUGAGGGAGAAAGUGGGGGAUCUUCGGACCUCACGCUAUCAGAUGAGCCUAGGUCGGAUUAGCUAGUUGGUGGGGUAAAGGCCUACCAAGGCGACGAUCCGUAACUGGUCUGAGAGGAUGAUCAGUCACAAUGGAACCUGAGCACGGGUCAAGAUCCUUAGGGAGGCAACAGUGGGGAAUAUUUGGCAAUGGGCGGAAGCCUGGUCCAGGCAUGGCGCGGGUUUGAAAGAAGGCUUCGGAUUUUAAAACACUUUUAGUUGGGGGGAAGGGCAAUAAGUUAAAACCUUGCUGUUUUGACGUUACCAACAAAAUAAACACCGGCUAACUUCGUG